This is a small nucleolar RNA of Apodemus sylvaticus (European woodmouse), 130 nucleotides long. RefSeq annotates it as small nucleolar RNA SNORA17. Lineage: Eukaryota; Metazoa; Chordata; Mammalia; Rodentia; Muridae. The record is from RefSeq and is a predicted model, not a curated record. The transcript has a single exon.
UCUGCCCAGAGGCGUUGCAGCUGUGGCUGCUGUGUCACAUGUGUGUCAGUAGGUGGCAGAGAGGAGAGAGGCUGAGUCUAUACUAGGUGAUCUGACCUAUGAACAUCUGAAUGAUUUGUAACCUAACAGU